GAUUUAGCAGCAGUCACAUUAGCUUAGAUAAUGGCAGAAUUUUUCUUCAUUGAAAAUGCUCGCUGUCGCUUGAGAAGAACUUACCGAGGCAGCCUGCCAUCUAGCUUUUUCACAGAAAAACAGGCUUGCAGACUGCAGAUGAGAGUCUGGAGCAGAGACAGUUUAACUUAGCCGUUCCUAAUUUAUCUCAAGCGUUUUCAAUUCAUCUUCACUGCUCUGUGCACACAGGAACACCAGAUUGCCUUCCCUGGGGAACAGAAUGCAACCGGGGAAUCUAGAGAGCUGUCACAUUCCAAGAAAUAUUUAAAUUGUGCUGGUUUUCUUCUGGAGAGCUGAGCCCAGGGAAUGAAACUCUCCAUCCAGUCGUAGCUUUGCGGGCAAUAGAUCAGAGGAUAUUGCCAGGUUCCUAAUGGAUUAUUGUUAUCGGGCAGGUUUUCUCUGAAGGGACUGGAGAUCAGCCAGAUCAGUGGUGUACACAAAGCUGCUUUGGAUCUGUCUUUUCAAAGAAGAACUCCACAAAAUGCAACAGCAAGGUUGAAGCAUUAUUCCAUUCUGGGUGACAAUAAUUUUUAUACAGGACAGAUUAUGACAGCUUCUUUCUUAAGGUAAGAUUGGUGACACAGUUUGUUCCGAGGGAACAUAUACGUUUUAUUAACAAAAAUAUUCCAUAGUUAAAAUUUGCUGGUAGUAGCUACAUUUUGCUUUGUUUCAGGGAUCUUAUCAUUAGUGCCAUGAUCAUAUUCCUUUUGUUCAACUGAAUCACUUCCACAAUAAUUCUGAGGAUGUUUCUAAAACAGCUACUGAGUAUAAUAUAUGUAGCUUGGUGUUUUAAUUAAAACAGAACUAUGUUAGCCAUGAAAGUAGACUAAUGGAAUAAAAAUAAAAUAUAGUAAGACAACAAAUAAAAUAUACUAAUAUAAGUAAGCUGACUCCUAGUGAACCCUUCACAAUAUAUUAAUAUCUUAAAUUUUCCUAAAAAUACAAACACAGUGGCCUAUUAAUUUUCAUGAACCUCUAGACUCUUCAGUUAAUUUCCUGUGUAGUUUUGCUCUGUCUGCUUUGAUAGUCACAAGUUGGCUGUUCAUACCCAAUGCCCUGGCCAGAUUACAAAAGCAAAGGAUUUGAUUAUAAAGAUGCCAACACUUGAAGCUUCAUGUUUUUCAGAUAAAUGUAAACAGAAAUAUUUUUCUUUUUUGACUUGAAUUCAAUAUCUAACCCCUGCUAACCCUUUAUUUCAAACUAAUUUAUGACUUCUACAAAUUUUCAGUCUUUCCUUCCAUAAUUCUGUUAUGCUUCUAUGAUUUCUCUCCCUUCCCUAAAGUGAGGACUUUUUAGCCCAUUAAUCUCAGCAAACUAUUAAGCCUUGUCAGCAGAGAAAAUGGGUAUGAACUUUGUGUGAGCAAUUUGAAGAAAAAGAAGUAAUUGGCGUUUCUCCUCUCAUCUUGUAUUCUCCUCCAAUAAUGUGACUUGUAAUGCUUUUUAGAUUUAUGUAAUUAUCAUUAUUAUAUACUGCUUAUCUACAAAAACAAUAUGUAAAAGCCCAUUUUAAUUGUAUGAAAAGGCUUGCUGGGGAUAGUAUAUCAGUAGAGAUGGCCUGUGAGGGUUCAUAAGCUCAUUCCAAUUUCUUUCUGUGUAUGAAUGAAAUGUGAUCUCUCUACUUUCUGCUUUGGCUACCAGGCCUUCUCCAUCCAUGAUGGAUUCUACCCUUGUGGAACUGUAAUCUAAAAAUCAACCCUUUCUUCACUAAGGUGUUGUUUUUUUUUUUCAGUCAGGAUAUUUUAUCACAGCAACAAGAAAGUAACUAAUACACUCACAUUUUGGAGUUAUGUAAUAAAGUAGCUAUCAUUGUCACCCCGUAGUAUAUACAUUUAAAAAAGUUUUGUUGAACAAAUUAAAAACCAUUUCCAAUGGUUUAAAACAGCCUUAUUCUAGUUUAAAAAAUGUCAUUAUCAUAGUCCUGGAUUUGAACCACGAAGGUUUUUGUUUUUGUCUUUUAAUUCUAAAUUUACAAUUGUAAACUAUUAAUUAUAAUGAGCUCAUUUGAUGAAAAUAGUUUUCUUUUAAAAAAACAAACAAUUUUAUGUCUGGGAAGUAGGUUUAUCGUGAGAGAGAGAG
This is a long non-coding RNA of Peromyscus leucopus (white-footed mouse), 2115 nucleotides long. RefSeq lists it as uncharacterized. The transcript has 3 exons. NCBI's taxonomy places the organism in Eukaryota, Metazoa, Chordata, Mammalia, Rodentia, Cricetidae. The record is from RefSeq and is a predicted model, not a curated record.